Molecule: ribosomal RNA, 467 nt
Filed under: Caulobacter sp.
Lineage: Bacteria; Pseudomonadati; Pseudomonadota; Alphaproteobacteria; Caulobacterales; Caulobacteraceae
Description: bacterial SSU rRNA
Rfam family: Bacterial small subunit ribosomal RNA
Source: RNAcentral
UGCCGCGUGAAUGAUGAAGGUCUUAGGAUUGUAAAAUUCUUUCACCGGGGACGAUAAUGACGGUACCCGGAGAAGAAGCCCCGGCUAACUUCGUGCCAGCAGCCGCGGUAAUACGAAGGGGGCUAGCGUUGCUCGGAAUUACUGGGCGUAAAGGGAGCGUAGGCGGAUAGUUUAGUCAGAGGUGAAAGCCCAGGGCUCAACCUUGGAAUUGCCUUUGAUACUGGCUAUCUUGAGUACGGAAGAGGUAUGUGGAACUCCGAGUGUAGAGGUGAAAUUCGUAGAUAUUCGGAAGAACACCAGUGGCGAAGGCGACAUACUGGUCCGUUACUGACGCUGAGGCUCGAAAGCGUGGGGAGCAAACAGGAUUAGAUACCCUGGUAGUCCACGCUGUAAACGAUGAGUGCUAGUUGUCGGCAUGCAUGCAUGUCGGUGACGCAGCUAACGCAUUAAGCACUCCGCCUGGGGAG